Molecule: ribosomal RNA, 178 nt
Filed under: uncultured Flavobacterium sp.
Lineage: Bacteria; Pseudomonadati; Bacteroidota; Flavobacteriia; Flavobacteriales; Flavobacteriaceae
Description: partial 16S ribosomal RNA
Rfam family: Bacterial small subunit ribosomal RNA
Source: RNAcentral
CUCCUACGGGAGGCAGCAGUGAGGAAUAUUGGACAAUGGGCGCAAGCCUGAUCCAGCCAUGCCGCGUGCAGGAUGACGGUCCUAUGGAUUGUAAACUGCUUUUGCACAGGAAGAAACACUCGGACGUGUCCGAGCUUGACGGUACUGUGAGAAUAAGGAUCGGCUAACUCCGUGCCAG